GGCUGUGAAAAUCUCCACGAUUCAUGGACAUUUUAGUGCAUGCGCAAAAGCGAAUUUGCCUUGGCGCUGACCAAUUCAUUGCUGGCGUCCAAAUUUUUCAUGGCCUUCUUGAGAUGAAAUAUUUCAGUUUGGAAAUGUAUUUUUUUGCUAAAAUAUACCUCUAGAUAAGUAAUUUCUCUUCAAAAAUUAAGAUGUCUAGAGAGAGAAAGUAACAAGAAGCUAGCACGUCUAAUUUUUAUCUCCCUGGCCGAAGAAUUCGCGUUGUUUGUCAUGUCUCACGGCUGCUUGCACUGGCAGUCUGACAACACUGUCACUGUGAAGGUAAUUGAAAAACUACAAUAUAUUAUUGUUAUUUAUAUUAUAAUUCAACAUAUAAUGGCCCUAUGACUGGUGCUAAUAUGCCUACAAAGUAUUUUUUUAAAGCGCUUAGUUUUGAGAAAUUAUAAUUUGAUAAUGAAAAUUUACUAGUGGGCCAUAGACUCAUAUCCAUUUUACACUGUGAACGUUGGCACUUGUUUAAGUUAUUUUGACUAAAAAUUAUCGCAUGUUAAUAAAUACUCAAGUAUAUAAUAAUACUGUAAUUUAUAGUUUAUUCCCUUGGAGCAUGCAAAGUGCCUACAUGUGGAAUAAUUUGCCUUAGAUCCACAGCUCUCAUACAGAUUAGAACUCCCAUAAAUUCUUUUACACAUCCUAGUACAUUUUACCAUUCUAAAAGUGCAUUUCCCCAUCCCCUUUCAGACAGCAGAAAUUUCAUUUGUAUUGUGAGUUUAUAUUGUGCACUGAAUGGUGAAUCAGUAAAACUAAAAGAUUGCCAACCAGUUUAGAGAUAGUUUUGUUCAAAUGUAACUUAUGUCAUAAGUAUGUUUCUCCCUCAAUUAGAAAUAAAUCUACCGUUAAUAAAUUAAUUGGAUAGAUUUAGUGUAACAUAUAGAUUUAGGUUUCCAGUUUGUGAAAUGAAAUGCAAAUCAAUUGUAUUAUAUUUUAGAUAUUCAUGCUUCUCAAAUUUCAAUAUGGAUAAAACAAGAACUGUCAAGAAGACUGCAACUGUAUAUGUACAACUUAAUGGGGAUGGGAAUGCUGUUAGUCUUCGCAUCUAGGAAUGUUGCUAAUAUGAGAUUAUUAAGAAAACCGCAAAGUCAACAACUAUCCUAGAUUCCAUAAUAUUAGGAAGCUGGCUCAACUAUACUUAAUAUUCCGGUAAUACUCAAGAAAGCGACAUGGCAAUUCAACAAUGCAUAUACAACAGAACAAGAUAUUUCCAUACCAAGACAAUUCUUACUGAAUUAGUAUUUAGCUGAUAUUUCAUUUUUUACAGUAUUUAAAGUUAUAUACAGUGCUGUUUUAAGUUAAAUAACAAAGUUACUUGGUUCAAAAUCUGGUCUUUGUUUUUCCUUCUCUGUACUGUGCAAGGGUAAAGAAAAGAGGUGGUAAUAUGCAUCCUCACAUGUGGCUGAUAGGAACUCUCACUCAUAUGGAAAAUGAAUUGGGUCGUUCCAGAAAAGAUCCAUACUCCCCCCAUGGAGGAAAUUUCUGCCAUCUGGAGGGGGAGGGGAGAAAAAAUUGUUUCUGAUAAUAGUAAAUGUAUUAGGACAUCUGAAGGGGGUUAACUUCCUAUUUCCUCUGUGGGGGUGGUAUGGAUGUUUUCUGGAAUGACCCAUUCUCAUAAAGUAAGCCUUGGAGCUUUUUUGAAAUCGAUUUCAUUCAUGCUUCAACAACCGAUCCCCUGCAUGUACAUCAUUGCAAAAUGUGCAGCCAGCCUGCAAUGUCCAAACCACAGUUGUCCACAACAUUUGUUCUCAUUGAGCUGUCCAUUGAUGAGGAAGUGUAGUGUGGAGACAAACAAUUUUGAUUUGGCUGCAUUUAUUUAAACACUUGCUUUAUUAUACCUUCCCUCACUGAUUCAAUAGUUGCUAAUGUAAAUUUGUACUAGCUCUGCAGGACAGAUGUGUUCAAUUUUUCCUAUAUGGUAUGGAAUAAAGAUCAUGCUGUUAGUGUUACAUGCAUGCAAAUGGUAAUUCACAAUGAUGUAAAGGCUAAUGAAAUUCAAUUAUGGGUUGUCCAAAACUACCAACAUUUCCUGAAGUGUACAAACUAUAUGCUUCAGGUAGGCGGGUUCAUAACCAAUAUUCAUCGGUUAAGUCGCUGGGGGAGGGGGUUGAAAAGUGUACUCUCUGUACACCUGUGAUAAUUAUGGAUGAUUUACAGUGUAACACUAAUGCUAGAUUUAACUGAAAAUAAUUUUAUAGUUAUGUUGAAUAUAUUUUAAAUGUUCCAUUUGUGGCAUCCAUUCUUGGUGGUCAG
This 2301-nucleotide long non-coding RNA is filed under the name Paramuricea clavata. The record is from RNAcentral. Lineage: Eukaryota; Metazoa; Cnidaria; Anthozoa; Malacalcyonacea; Plexauridae.